GCCUCAAGUGAUGAUUAUUGGAGGUAGAGCACUGUUUGGACGAGGGGCCCCUCUCGGGUUACCGAAUUCAGACAAACUCCGAAUGCCAAUUAAUUUAACUUGGGAGUCAGAACAUGGGUGAUAAGGUCCGUGUUCGAAAGGGAAACAGCCCAGACCACCAGCUAAGGUCCCAAAAUAUAUGUUAAGUGGAAAAGGAUGUGGCGUUGCCCAGACAACUAGGAUGUUGGCUUAGAAGCAGCCAUCAUUUAAAGAGUGCGUAAUAGCUCACUAGUCGAGUGACACUGCGCCGAAAAUGUACCGGGGCUAAACAUAUUACCGAAGCUGUGGAUUGUCCUUUGGACAAUGGUAGGAGAGCGUUCUAAGGGCGUUGAAGCAUGAUCGUAAGGACAUGUGGAGCGCUUAGAAGUGAGAAUGCCGGUGUGAGUAGCGAAAGACGGGUGAGAAUCCCGUCCACCGAUUGACUAAGGUUUCCAGAGGAAGGCUCGUCCGCUCUGGGUUAGUCGGGUCCUAAGCUGAGGCCGACAGGCGUAGGCGAUGGAUAACAGGUUGAUAUUCCUGUACCACCUAUAAUCGUUUUAAUCGAUGGGGGGACGCAGUAGGAUAGGCGAAGCGUGCGAUUGGAUUGCACGUCUAAGCAGUAAGGCUGAGUAUUAGGCAAAUCCGGUACUCGUUAAGGCUGAGCUGUGAUGGGGAGAAGACAUUGUGUCUUCGAGUCGUUGAUUUCACACUGCCGAGAAAAGCCUCUAGAUAGAAAAUAGGUGCCCGUACCGCAAACCGACACAGGUAGUCAAGAUGAGAAUUCUAAGGGGAGCGAGCGAACUCUCGUUAAGGAACUCGGCAAAAUGACCCCGUAACUUCGGGAGAA
RNAcentral lists this ribosomal RNA (865 nucleotides) under Paenibacillus polymyxa. RNAcentral describes it as "partial 23S ribosomal RNA". It matches the Rfam family "Bacterial large subunit ribosomal RNA", at positions 879 to 1744 of the family's 2925-position model. Lineage: Bacteria; Bacillati; Bacillota; Bacilli; Caryophanales; Paenibacillaceae. The record is from RNAcentral.